AAAUUAGUGUGCGAAAUCUCCAGUGACCUCCUCCCCUUCUCCCCAUACUCUUUAGCCAAGCUGAACAGCCUCUGCUGUAAAGUAUUCAUUUUAUCCAGGGACAAGCUGGACAAUAGAACUCUCCCUGAUACUUAUGGACAGCUGUCGUCAUUCAUAGUGCUCUCAGUAUUUCAUUUUUCAUAGGAGUUAAAAGGGUUUUUACCUUGUAACUGAAAGAGGGCAUAAAUGCAACUUUGCCAGUUCUGGAGCUUCUGGGGCAGGGGGUGGGAUGGAAGUGGGGUGACUUUGGAGUUAGGAGAAGCUGCUAAAGAAAGCAAUUCUUUUUUGUCUUGCUAAUAUGAUUAAACUAAGACAGAAAUUAAAUUCUAAAUCUGGGUUCCUUGCAAACAGAAAAUAUCUUCGAUUCCAAAAGUUUCCUAAAAUUAAGGUCACCAGUGCCAGCUAGAUCAUUCAUCUCCGCCCACUCUACCCUUGUUUUGGCUAAAUAUGCAUGCAUUUUAUUACCUGUGAAUAACCACCCGUAAAUAGUAAGCCUGUGAGAUACCUCGGUAGUCCCAUAUUUUUUUUCUUUUUUUAGUGAUUUACUGCAAAUAUAUUCAGCAUUUGACUGAUUAAAUAGACCUUCGGCAACCUUGAGGGUCACUGUGUAGAGUAUGUACAUAGAAAAUGCAUCAGCCCAUUGUACCCUGGCAGCUAAUGAGAUUGGUCGUUAAGUAAAUGACACAAAGCCUACAAAAAAAGCUUAGCAGCUCACUAGAGUAUCACAGAGUGUCCCUGCACACCACACAACGACACAAACACUGGACUAACCUAGCCCACCCCUGCUUUAUUCUACAUCACUGCUUCCCUGAUGUCAGCGUGAGAGGCAGAACAAAGGCUAGGAGGCACGGAGCCUUAAAUUUUGUGAGAUUCCUUGAAGAAUUGUGA
This 927-nucleotide long non-coding RNA is filed under the name Canis lupus familiaris (dog). RNAcentral describes it as "lncRNA (ENSCAFG00000054311.1, ENSCAFG00845029406.1)". The record is from RNAcentral. Lineage: Eukaryota; Metazoa; Chordata; Mammalia; Carnivora; Canidae.